This 814-nucleotide ribosomal RNA is filed under the name uncultured bacterium. RNAcentral's name for it is "bacterial SSU rRNA". It matches the Rfam family "Bacterial small subunit ribosomal RNA", at positions 56 to 866 of the family's 1533-position model. The record is from RNAcentral.
UGCAAGUCGANCGGUAACAGGAAGUGCUUGCACUUCGCUGACGAGUGGCGGACGGGUGAGUAAUACUUAGGGAUCUGCCUUCGGGAGGGGGAUAACCAUUGGAAACGAUGGCUAAUACCGCAUAACGUCUACGGACCAAAGGGGGCUUUUAGCUCUCACCUGAAGAGGAACCUAAGCGAGAUUAGCUUGUUGGUGAGGUAAAGGCUCACCAAGGCGACGAUCUCUAGCUGUUCUGAGAGGAAGAUCAGCCACACUGGGACUGAGACACGGCCCAGACUCCUACGGGAGGCAGCAGUGGGGAAUAUUGCACAAUGGGGGCAACCCUGAUGCAGCCAUGCCGCGUGUGUGAAGAAGGCCUUCGGGUUGUAAAGCACUUUCAGUCGUGAGGAAAGGUUAGUAGUUAAUACCUGCUAGCUGUGACGUUAACGACAGAAGAAGCACCGGCUAACUCCGUGCCAGCAGCCGCGGUAAUACGGAGGGUGCGAGCGUUAAUCGGAAUUACUGGGCGUAAAGCGCACGCAGGCGGAUUGUUAAGCUAGAGGUGAAAGCCCCGCGCUCAACGUGGGAAUUGCCUUUAGAACUGGCAGUCUAGAGUCUUGGAGAGGGGAGUGGAAUUCCAGGUGUAGCGGUGAAAUGCGUAGAGAUCUGGANGAACAUCAGUGGCGAANGCGACUCCCUGGCCAAAGACUGACGCUCAUGUGCGAAAGUGUGGGUAGCGAACAGNANUAGAUACCCUGGUAGUCCACACCGUAAACGCUGUCUACUAGCUGUUUGUGUAUUCUAUACGUGAGUAGCGAANCUANCGCGCUAAGUA